This 505-nucleotide ribosomal RNA is filed under the name uncultured bacterium. RNAcentral's name for it is "partial 16S ribosomal RNA". It matches the Rfam family "Bacterial small subunit ribosomal RNA", at positions 28 to 507 of the family's 1533-position model. The record is from RNAcentral.
GACGAACGCUGGCGGCGUGCCUAAUACAUGCAAGUAGAACGCACAGUUUAUACCGUAGCUUGCUACACCAUAGACUGUGAGUUGCGAACGGGUGAGUAACGCGUAGGUAACCUGCCUGGUAGCGGGGGAUAACUAUUGGAAACGAUAGCUAAUACCGCAUAAUAUUGAUUAUUGCAUGGUAAUUGAUUGAAAGAUGCUAUUGCAUCACUACCAGAUGGCCCUGGGUUGUAUUAGCUAGUAGGUGAGGUAACGGCUCACCUAAGCGACGAUACAUAGCCGACCUGGGAGGGUGAUCGGCCACACUGGGACUGAGACACGGCCCAGACCCCUACGGGAGGGAGCAGGAGGGAAACUUCGGCAAUGGACGAAAGUCUGACUGAGCAACGCCGCGGGAAGGAAGGAGGGUUUCGGAUCGUAAAGCUCGGUUGUAAGGGAAGAACGGGUGUGAGAGUGGAAAGUUCACACUGUGACGGUAUCUUACCAGAAAGGGACGGCUAACUACGUG